UGGAGCUUUAAACCCGACNGCACCCACUUAUUUAACACCUUCUUAUCCGCCNGGCCCCUGUCUGCUCGGUUUUGGGUUGGGGUGACCGCGGAGCAUAAAAUAGCCUCCACGAAAGAAGGGAUGAUUCCCUCAUUUUAGAACUACACUUCCAAAGACUAACAAAUUAAUUUUAAGUGAUCCGAUACCC
Molecule: ribosomal RNA, 187 nt
Filed under: Boophis reticulatus
Lineage: Eukaryota; Metazoa; Chordata; Amphibia; Anura; Mantellidae
Description: partial 16S ribosomal RNA
Source: RNAcentral